This 487-nucleotide ribosomal RNA is filed under the name uncultured Lachnospiraceae bacterium. Its description in RNAcentral is "bacterial SSU rRNA". It matches the Rfam family "Bacterial small subunit ribosomal RNA", at positions 8 to 507 of the family's 1533-position model. Lineage: Bacteria; Bacillati; Bacillota; Clostridia; Lachnospirales; Lachnospiraceae. The record is from RNAcentral.
AGAGUUUGAUCCUGCUCAGGAUGAACGCUGGCGGCGUGCCUAACACAUGCAAGUCGAACGGACAUAAUUUGAAACCUAGUGAGAAUUAUGUUAGUGGCGGACGGGUGAGUAACGCGUGGGUAACCUGCCCCAUACCGGGGGAUACCAGCCGGAAACGGCUGCUAAUACCGCAUAAGCGCACAGCUUUGCAUGAAGCAGUGUGAAAAACUCCGGUGGUAUGGGAUGGACCCGCGUCCGAUUAGCCAGUUGGCGGGGUAGAGGCCCACCAAAGCGACGAUCGGUAGCCGGCCUGAGAGGGCGGACGGCCACAUUGGGACUGAGACACGGCCCAAACUCCUACGGGAGGCAGCAGUGGGGAAUAUUGCACAAUGGGGGGAACCCUGAUGCAGCGACGCCGCGUGAGUGAAGAAGUCAUUCGUGAUGUAAAGCUCUAUCAGCAGGGAAGAAAAUGACGGUACCUGACUAAGAAGCCCCGGCUAACUACGGG